Molecule: long non-coding RNA, 5427 nt
Filed under: Homo sapiens (human)
Lineage: Eukaryota; Metazoa; Chordata; Mammalia; Primates; Hominidae
Description: MIR9-3 host gene
Source: RNAcentral
GAGGGGCGGCAAGAUGGCUGCGUGGGCACCCGGAAGGUCGCCGCGCCAAGGGCCCGCUGAGCCCCUCCUCCCAUUCGUCCAGCCGCGCGGCCCACAGAAGCGGAACGCGCGUCGAGAGCGCCCUGUCCGCUCGCCCCAGACAGAUGCCCGGUUAUUCAUUACCGCGAGGCCUAGAGGAAAGAGUGGCUGCCGUCUUCCUGCCCACAGCCCGCCGGACCCUCCGUCGCGGCUGCCCGGUCCCCGGAGCCGCAGCCGCCGAGCCCGGCUGUGCGUGUCGUGGCUGCUGGGGAGAAAGAGGCUUCCGGACAUGCUCUGGAGUCAGAAGACAGCGAAAAGAGAAGCAGAAGCCCCGGUGGCAAGAGUCUGAAGGUGGGUUCCUUCCUGACAUGGGCAUUGGGCUGCGCAUGUGUGUUCGCAGUUCUUUCCAGCUGCUGUUCUGACCUCUUUGUGCAGUGUAUUUAUGUGGCUGUAGAUGGAUGGUCCAAGGUAGAUUUAGGUUUUGGAAUACUGUUUUUUUUUUCUACUUCAGGGAGAAAAUAACCCAGUUUGGGAAGGACAUUUAAAAGGGGAAAAUAUUAGGUAUGAUGGCACACCUGCAGUCCCAGCUAUUCGGGAGGCUAAGGCUGGAGGAUCACUUGAGCUCAGGGGUUUCAGGCUGCAGUGAGCUAUGAUCACGCCACUGUACUCCAGCCUGGGUGACAGAAUGAGACCCGUCUCUAAAAAAAAUGUAAUUUAAUUUAAAAAGGGAAAAUAUCCUUGGUGGUCCUUGGAACCAGCACUUACCAGGUUGACCCAUAUGAAAUUUCUUUCUUGUUGAUGAAAAAUAGUCAAAUAUUGGCAAUUUCUUAUGGUUCAACAUGUUACAGUUCCAUUCCUCUGGGAUGGUAGAGGGAUCCCCAGAAACACAUUUUAAAGAGUUUCUGAUACUUUAACCAUUUGUGUUCCUCUUCAUCCUACGAUACCCUUCACAGAAUUUUUUUUUUAACAGCAGGAAGGAUGACUGUAGCCUGUGGAUUGUACUGCAGUAGGAAACUGUCCUAGCAAGGCUCCACUUUGCCCCAGCUUCAAGGUAUAUCGUCUCAAAAUGCAGGGGACUUCAGAUGAGUUUUGAGCACCCUUUCUUUUAUUAUAAAAAAAAUUCCAGACAGUUCAGCCAAUACUGACUAAGGGCUGAGACCAGUUCCAUGCUUUUCUGUCUCCAGAGGAAUUUGCUUCCAUCUGGAUGCCUGAAACGGUAUUUUACUUCACCUCCUGUGUCACCGGCAGCAGUCCUGGGAGCCCUGGGGAGGAGGUUUUUGGGAGAGCCAGCUCACAGCCUCUCCAUCACCUUUUAGCCACCCCAGUGCUGGGCAGCCAGGGUGUGGGCUUUUGACUGAAUGCACUUGCCCUCCUGCAUUCAUUACACCAUUGUCAGUGUGUGUGUCUGGGGCUGCCUCUGGGUGUGCAUGGUUUUUUUUGUGUCUGCGUGUCAGUGUCAGGCUAUGUGUGUCUGUUUCUGUCGGCCUGUCUAGGCGCGCUCAGUGCAACAAGGAGCUGGGGGAGGUGGCGGUAAAGAGGAAGGGCAUUUCAAAGCCCAGCUGUCCUCCUCAGGGACCUCAGGAGAUGCGUGUGUGUGUGUGUGUGUGUGUGUGUGUGUGUGUGUGUGUAUUUUUUUCCAUGCUGCUCAUUGUGUGGGGCUGCAUGCGAGUGUCUGACCAGGUGUGGUGUGAGCAGCCGCUGGGCUGGGUGAGCCCCAUCUGCCGUGAGCUCCCAGACUUGCCUUCUAGCCCUCUGCCGCCAUCCAUGGGGAGCCUCUCCCUUCGCAGCUCACCGUCUCUUCUCUAAUUUAUUAGCUGGAAAGGAGGAGAACAUGAAACAUUGCUUGAAGACAAUGGCCGAGACAGCAGGUCCCACCCUGCACAGCCACCAGCAUCUCUCCCCUCAGCCCUGUCUCCUCUUCUGCAGUUGGGAUCUGCACAUUUAAGCCUGAAAUUGUCCUGUGAAGUGAAGUAUGAUCGGACAGCCUCUUUUCAGCUUUUAUGACAAUGGAGACAGAGGAAUUGUGGCUCUUGCCAAGGUCACAGGAUUGGAAUACAGAGCCAAGCCACCCCAGGACAUGCAAGAGCCUCAGAAGGGAAAAAAGCCCAGCAGGAAGGGAGAACAAGUAGCCUCUGUCCUGAAGUUGUAACAGCCAGGGGCCAGGAUGGAGGAGGAGGACCCCAUAAUCUGCCCAUCUGGGACUUGGCAGGGGACCUGGGAAAAUGUACCCCAACCCAUCCCUUAAGGGCCUUUGUCUUUGGCCCAUUGGCCUAGCAUCUACUUCUUCACCGUGUCUGUUCUUGUCACACCUAGUCAGGUCUGUUUGGGUCUGAGGUGCAUGGAACAUUCUGGGUAGGCCUCCAGCAAACGGAAGCUCUUCACCGUGUUUCCAGCCUGGGACCAAGGGCAGCAUACUGGCAAAGUUGCCAAAGCAAGGGACUCCAGCCUCUUAGGAGUUAAUGACUCCCUCUCCCCAGCUGUCCUCCCCUUGGUGCUCCUCUUCCUCCCUCCUCCUGCUCACAGCAGGCAGGGCCUAGACCCGGGAGCCAUGCUGCUGUGCUGUUGCCAGGGGAGCACGGAGGCAGAUCUGAGCUAUGCAGGGAAAAGGCCCAGCCUGUCAAAGUGUCUGAGAUGAACCGCCGCCGUCCCUGUGCAGCUGGGCUCAGACGUGUCUCAGCUCUUGUUCUGUGCCUGAGAAUGGCGAAACCCAGUGAGGUUCAAGGGCAAACUCGCUAUUCAUUAGUCAGGGGUUCUUGACGUCCCGUCUCUCCCAGGGAUGAGUUCCCCCCUCCUCUUUCUCCCCCUCCUAUGACACAUUCCUGGGUGCCUUUGGUGAGGACUGCACACCCUCCUCCUGCCUAGCCCCCUCUCCAAAGGCCCCUGAAUAAACUCCCCCCAAGGAGACCAGGCAGGGCAGAGACAAUGGCUGCAGGAAAUCAUUCAGGCGGGACAUGCUGGCCUGCCCUCCACCCAGUCCCCCUGUGGGCCCCACUCCCUUCUGAUUCAGGGCACCCUUGGGCCCCCAGCCUAUACAGGCCUGGACAGGAAGAAACCACUGGGAACCACCCUAAGGACAACAUGCUAGUCCAGUGCCAUUCUUCGCUGGCUCUGUGGGUGCCUUUGUGGCCUGUACCGACUGGCUGGCUAAUUUUGUGGUUUCUGUACCAUCACAUGCCUAUUUUAAGACACUCUCCAGCACUGUCGGUUAGGGAGUGUAAAUUUUGCAAUAUUUUCUGAAAUGUGGCAAUAUCAAAAUGUAAAAGGCACACAUACUUGGUCACAAACAAAUGGCACUAUUUACUCUGUGGGCAUAUUUGUAAAAGUUGCCAAAGAAUUAUAUACAAGGAUGUUCAUCAGAGCAUUUCUUUUGAAGAGUAAAGAAAUGGACAUGAACCUGUGGUCCGUUCAUACGGUGGAAUACCUAUGCAGCUGUAAAAAUCAGUGUGGUAGAUCUCCGUAUAUGAGUUGAUGUGGAAGGUUGGCCAGUUCACAUGAUAAGGUGAAUAGAAUAAGUUACAGAACAGGCUGUAGAGUAUGAUCUUAUUUGUAGAUGUUUAAAACUGAGUCAUAAGUAUGCUUAUAUACAGAUCGUUUCUGGAAGUAUGUACUGGAAGUCUACCUCUGGGGAGUGGGGAUGGGGGAGUGCACUCUUCUAUACUGUUAUAUUUUCUUUUCAUGCUCCUAAGGUACUUUUAUUGGAAGAUGUAAAGCGGUUCAAUGUAAUAGGCUUAACUUCUGUCAACUAAGUUGGCGUGGGUGCUUUAAGAGGGUGGUAGUGAUGUUGCUGGAGAAAGUAUCCCACAGUCACUGGUGGCUUCAGCCACGGGCCAUUUUGGGGCCUAAUAAUCACAUAUCAUCAUGGUUGCUAGUGUUAAUCGAAAACCUACUAAGUGCCAGGCUUACUGUCUCUGGGUCUUGCUUACGUGGAUGUCAUUUUUCCAGUUGCACCAAAUCGAAAGAGGUUAAUUGGUUUGUUGGAGUUCCUUUGUAGGUGAAGGGCAGAGCCAGGAGCUUGGCUAGGGACAGGGGAGGUGAGUGGGGGAUGGUGGAUAGGUCUUGGCUCCCAGUUUCCUUCUGGGCAGACAUUGCCCCUCUGCCCUGAGGACCUGCUUGUUUGGGGGAAGAGGCCUUUAGAGGCACCAGGGUCAUGCCAGGUGUUGGACAUGGUGAACUGGGAAGUGCUCCCAUCUGGCCACAGCGCAGAAGUAUCACCGUGCUGGGGGAUGGGGAACAGGGCUGUGAAUGGGCCUAUUUGCAUAAGCAGCAUGUGUCUGGAGAGAAAGACAUCACAGAGCAGAAGAGUGCGGGUGCCCAGGAGUGCACUUGCCACCCCUACUUCAUCCCUGAAAGAGUAAAUGGCCUGGAAGGUGUCUCUGAGAGGUAAUGCCGCACACCACCCUCCCUGGGGGCAGGGUCAGGCUACACCUGCCUUAGGUCGGGGGCUGCAGCAGCCUGAGAGCUCUCAGUAGGGCCUCAGUAGCCUGGGAGGGAGCAGGGGCAGGGGGCAGGGAAAGAGGCGUAAUGGGGCUGUCCAGAGGGGCCUGGGAAACCUGGUCCCUGAGGCCUGGGCACAGCUACAAUCACUUCAAAUUGGCUGUGGGGCCAGUGGACUGGGAAGGAAAAAAGCAAUAAGAGUGACCAAGUGCAGAAGGCUGUCAGGUCCCAGGUCACAUGCCUUAGUGCAGUGACUCCUCAUCAUUUUAUGGGGUGUGGGUGUCGUUGGUACACCCAUUUUACAGAUGAGGACACCGAGGCCCAGAAAAGUUAAGUUACAUGUCCUAAGUCACACAGCUUGUAAGUGCCAGAACUGAGAUCAAAACCAAGUCUCUUUGACUUUAAAGUCUGUACUCUGACCCCAAAGAGAUCCUGUUUGGCCACUUAUAGGAGGUCCCUAAAGCUGCAGACUCCCCUUGCCGGCACCCACAUAUAGAGACAUUAACCCUUCCCCUGCAGGGUCACCUCAAAUAGUCUUUUAGCUGGGCUUCUCCUGCAAUUCCACCUAAUGCCAUCCCCUGGGUUUUGCCCAAACCUGAACUGGGCAGUGGGGUGAGAGGAGGGGUUUACAGGGUUACAGAGCCUCAUACAGAUAGGAGCCCAUGGCUGCUGGUCAUCUGCAUUCCUGCAGGAUUGGCUGUUCCUUGGGGUCCUUGGCAGGAAAAUGAGGAUUGCUCCGAGGCCUGCUCCAGUACUUCCCAGAGGCUGGCCUGGUGUGGGGCUCUGGGAAGGCUGAGGCUGGAGAAGCGUAAGUAGGAGGGCAGAGAUGGCACUCAGGUAGCUUGAAUCACCAGGACCCUUCCAAGCCCCACAGGUUCUGAGGGAGUACUAGGGCCAGCUCUGGGAGAGGUCUCUUCCUAUGCUGUGAACCCCCUGCCUUUCUUGCAGCCUACAACGAAUAAAUUUUCUUUGCAA